This 1265-nucleotide ribosomal RNA is filed under the name Annulohypoxylon stygium. Its description in RNAcentral is "LSU rRNA". It matches the Rfam family "Eukaryotic large subunit ribosomal RNA", at positions 107 to 1401 of the family's 3401-position model. Lineage: Eukaryota; Fungi; Ascomycota; Sordariomycetes; Xylariales; Hypoxylaceae. The record is from RNAcentral.
GCUCAAAUUUGAAAUCUGGCCCUAGCGGUCCGAGUUGUAAUUUGCAGAGGAUGCUUUUGGUGCGGUGCCUUCCGAGUUCCCUGGAACGGGACGCCAUAGAGGGUGAGAGCCCCGUACGGUUGGAUACCUAGCCUCUAUAUAGCUCCUUCGACGAGUCGAGUAGUUUGGGAAUGCUGCUCUAAAUGGGAGGUAAAUUUCUUCUAAAGCUAAAUACCGGCCAGAGACCGAUAGCGCACAAGUAGAGUGAUCGAAAGAUGAAAAGCACUUUGAAAAGAGGGUUAAAUAGCACGUGAAAUUGUUGAAAGGGAAGCGUUUGCGACCAGACCUUCUCCAGGGGGAUCAACCGCUGUUCUCAGCGGUGCACUCCCCCUGGUUUAGGCCAGCAUCGGUUCUCUUAGGGGGAUAAAGGCCUGGGGAACGUAGCUCUUUAGGGAGUGUUAUAGCCCCUAGCGUAAUACCCUUCAGGGGACCGAGGACCGCGCUUCGGCAAGGAUGCUGGCGUAAUGGUCGUCAACGACCCGUCUUGAAACACGGACCAAGGAGUCGAACAUUUGUGCGAGUGUUUGGGUGUUAAACCCUCACGCGUAAUGAAAGUGAACGGAGGUGAGAGCCUUAGGGUGCAUCAUCGACCGAUCCUGAUGUCUUCGGAUGGAUUUGAGUAAGAGCAUAACUGUUCGGACCCGAAAGAUGGUGAACUAUGCGUGGAUAGGGUGAAGCCAGAGGAAACUCUGGUGGAGGCUCGCAGCGGUUCUGACGUGCAAAUCGAUCGUCAAAUCUGCGCAUGGGGGCGAAAGACUUAUCGAACCAUCUAGUAGCUGGUUACCGCCGAAGUUUCCCUCAGGAUAGCAGUGUUGUCUUCAGUUUUAUGAGGUAAAGCGAAUGAUUAGGGACUCGGGGGCGCUAUAUUGCCUUCAUCCAUUCUCAAACUUUAAAUAUGUAAGAAGCCCUUGUUACUUAGUUGAACGUGGGCAUUCGAAUGUACCAACACUAGUGGGCCAUUUUUGGUAAGCAGAACUGGCGAUGCGGGAUGAACCGAACGCGGGGUUAAGGUGCCAGAGUGGACGCUCAUCAGACACCACAAAAGGUGUUAGUACAUCUUGACAGCAGGACGGUGGCCAUGGAAGUCGGAAUCCGCUAAGGACUGUGUAACAACUCACCUGCCGAAUGUACUAGCCCUGAAAAUGGAUGGCGCUCAAGCGUCUCACCCAUACCUCGCCCUUAGGGUAGAAACGAUGCCCUAAGGAGUAGGCGGCCGUGGAGGUUAG